GUCCACGCCGUAAACGAUGAGUGCUAGGUGCUGUGGGUAUUGACCCCGCGGUGCCGCAGCCAACGCGUUAAGCACUCCGCCUGGGGAGUACGGCCGCAAGGCUAAAACUCAAAGGAAUUGACGGGGCCCGCACAAGCGGUGGAGCAUGUGGUUCAAUUCGACGCAACGCGCAGAACCUUACCUGGGUUAAAUCCACCAGAACCUUGCAGAGAUGCAGGGGUGCCUUUCGGGGAACUGGUGAGAAGGUGCUGCAUGGCUGUCGU
RNAcentral lists this ribosomal RNA (263 nucleotides) under uncultured bacterium. RNAcentral's name for it is "partial 16S ribosomal RNA". It matches the Rfam family "Bacterial small subunit ribosomal RNA", at positions 793 to 1055 of the family's 1533-position model. The record is from RNAcentral.